CGGAGGUCACUGCUAUCGGGGUUCGAUUAAUUCAUGCGAGUCGAGAGGGUUCAAACCCUCGGCGGACUGCUCAGUAACACGUGGAUAAUCUGCCCUAUGGUGGAGGAUAACCCCGGGAAACUGGGGAUAAUACUCCAUAAGUCAGGAGUACUGGAAUGUCUCCUAACUGAAAGUUGCGGCGCCAUAGGAUGAAUCUGCGGCCGAUUAGGUAGUUGUUGGGGUAACGGCCCAACAAGCCCGUAAUCGGUACGGGUUGUGGGAGCAAGAGCCCGGAGAUGGAAUCUGAGACACGAUUCCAGGCCCUACGGGGCGCAGCAGGCGCGAAAACUUUUACAAUGCAGGAAACUGUGAUAAGGGAACCCCCGAGUGCCCGUAAACGCGGGCUGUCCCGGUGUUUUAAAACACAUCGGAAGAAAGGGCCGGGCAAAGACCGGUGCCAGCCGCCGCGGUAAUACCGGCGGCUCGAGUGGUGACCACUUUUAUUGGGCCUAAAGCGUUCGUAGCUUGAUUUUUAAGUCUCUUGGGAAAUCUCACGGCUUAACUGUGAGGCGUCUAAGAGAUACUGGGAAUCUAGGGACCGGGAGAGGUAAGAGGUACUUCAGGGGUAGGAGUGAAAUUCUGUAAUCCUUGAGGGACCACCGAUGGCGAAGGCAUCUUACCAGAACGGCUUCGACAGUGAGGAACGAAAGUUGGGGGAGCGAACGGGAUUAGAUACCCCGGUAGUCCCAGCCGU
Molecule: ribosomal RNA, 733 nt
Filed under: uncultured archaeon
Lineage: Archaea
Description: bacterial SSU rRNA
Rfam family: Archaeal small subunit ribosomal RNA
Source: RNAcentral